UGGGUGGAGUCACCCCGGGGACUGGACGGGAACCUGGCGGGGUCAGCUCCCGUCAAGCAGCCUGGCUCAUGGCUGUGUGGGGCCUGGGGAGCCGUCUUGGCCUGCGCGGGUGCUUCGGCGCCGCCAGGGUCCUGUAUCCCCGUUUCCAGAGCCGCGGCCCGCAGGGCGUGGAAGACGGGGACAGGCCACAGCCUUCCUCGAAGACACCCAGGAUCCCCAAGAUUUACACCAAAACGGGAGACAAAGGGUUUUCUAGUACCUUCACAGGAGAAAGGAGACCCAAAGACGAUCAAGUGUUUGAAGCCGUGGGAACUACAGAUGAAUUAAGUUCAGCUAUUGGGUUUGCUCUGGAAUUAGUCACAGAAAAGGGCCACACGUUUGCCGAAGAGCUUCAGAAAAUCCAGUGCACAUUGCAGGAUGUCGGCUCGGCCCUGGCGACACCACGCUCCUCGGCCCGGGAGGCUCACUUAAAGUAUACCACGUUCGAGGCAGGGCCCGUCCUGGAGCUGGAGCAGUGGAUCGACAAGUACACCAGCCAGCUCCCACCACUCACGGCCUUCAUCCUGCCUUCGGGAGGCAAGAUCAGCUCGGCGCUGCAUUUCUGCCGGGCCGUGUGCCGCCGGGCCGAGAGACGUGUGGUGCCUCUUGUCCAGAUGGGAGAGACGGAUGCGAACGUGGCCAAGUUCUUAAACAGACUCAGUGACUAUCUCUUCACGCUAGCCAGAUAUGCAGCCAUGAAGGAGGGGAAUCAAGAGAAAAUAUACAAGAAGAAUGACCCAUUGGCCAAGUCUGAGGCACUCUGAAAUCACAGAAAUGGGAGCUUGGAGGAUCCCUCCAUGGUGAUGGCCGUGGAGAGAGGAGCUUGCCCUUCUGGGGUCCCGGUUCCUGAAGAGCUCACCCAGAGAGGCUUAAAGCAGCCUUUUGUCCCAGCUCAGCUUUGCUCUACACCUCCUGCCACCUUCCUCAAGGGACUGUGACCGUUUGGUGAUUCUUUCCUUGACCCUGCUUCCUCAAGCUCUCCUGGGUCUUGGAGGGAUGUGGGAAUGAAUUGGCAUUGCAGGAAAGACAGAAUCAGAAACUUCUCAAGCUGUGGUUUGUCACCUUUGGAAUGCACACACAUAUUCACAAGUUUGCAUCCAGUCAGAGGAAGUCCAUGGAACCUCCCGCCCAGGAUUGAUGUGCGCACCUGUAGUCCCAGCUACUCGAGACUGAGGUGAAAAGAUUGCUUGAGCCCAGGAGCUUGAGGCCGAGUGAGCUAUGAUCGUGCCACUGCACUCCAGACCAGGCAACAAAGCGAGACCCUGUCUCAAAAACAAACCCCCAGGAGGAACUUAGUUGCCACAGCUACAAGUGUCCUCUCUGAAGAAGGGUAAGAAGCAAGUGCCAAUUCAAGGCAGCCUGGGGCAAAGGCACCCUGGAGAACAGAGUGCAUAAGUGGCAUGAAGGUGUCUUACUCAGGACCAGAGCGGGGGGCAAGGUGACCUUCCUCCCCUCACUGCUGAAAUGCCUCCCAGUGCAAGCUCCCAAGGCACCGGUCCUUCGGCCCUCAUCACUGGCCAUCUGCAGUGCCCAUGGCCCUCACUGGUCAGCAGGUGCCUUUAUUUACAAUCACCUUGGGAGGGUCGAGCAGACAUAUGUUGCUCAGGGUCGUUUAUUCUUGUUUAUAAAAUUUAUGGCUUCACCUCGAUUACACACUGUCAAAACAGAAAGGAUUGGGCCCAAAGUCUCUUGCCGCAUGACUGCCUCAGACGUGCGUACAUCUGUUAACUCCAUGGGAGCUGUAGAGGGAAAUAAGGUUCACUAUAACUCAAAAGCUUGCUACCCUGCCACGAGGUGUGAGCAUCAGGCCUUGAGAAAAGACAUCCAGGCGUGCACGGUGAGAGGGAGGAGGUAAGGUCUGUGAGUGGGCAUGCCAGGUGGCCUCAGGACCCUGCCCCCGCCUGGCCAGGGACUCUCUCAAGGUGCUUUGAUUGGGGAGUGGAAGAGAGAGAACUGUAUUUCUAUGGCCCUCGGGGGUCCAGCUGCAGGAUCCCAGCAGCUGGAAAGAGUUCUGAGCCUAUGGCUUUCCACCUGCCAACUUCAGUGGGGAGAGAGAAAUGUUGACUCUCUCUCACGGUUGCGGGGAGUGGAGAUCAGUAUGAACUUUCAGGAGGGCAAUUUGGCAAUGUGCAUCAAAGUCCUAGAGAUGUGUGUACCUUACGGUCCUGCAACUCUGUGUCUGAGAAUUUUUGUGAAGGAAAUAGACACGUUGGUGGAGCUUCAAGAGUUUUUUUUUUCGGCUUUUUUAUUUUUUCAGUGCAGGAAGUAGACACACUGGUGAAACUGCAAGGGUUUUUUGUUUUGUUUUUGUUUUUGUUUUUUCCAGUGCAGAAAAGUGCUGCUCAUUACAGUGAAAAAUUGGAAGCCAAUGUCCAACAAUAGGGAGCUGGAUAAUUAAAUAAGUAAAAUAUUAACAAUAAGGGACUGUAAGAAAUACCAUAAAACCACUGAAAAUGAUGGUGUCUACAUAUUUACUACUAUGAAAGAGCGUUCACUAUUAUUAAGUGAAAAAAGAAACCCAAAUUACAAAAUGUUACAUAUAGAAUGACCCAAAUCCUAAAAAGAAACAUACAUGUGUUUAUAUACCAUAGAAAAAUGCAUGUGUUACUAAUACGUAUCUCUCAGUGGUGGGAAGAUGGGUGGUUUUAAUGCUCAUUUUCAUUUUGUCUGGAUUUUCUAAUUUUUCUACAAUGAAUUUGGGCUGGAUUUGACAAAAGGCUUACUGUGUAAUACACAUGAAUGAAAACAAACUGACAAGUGGUU
Molecule: RNA transcript, 2802 nt
Organism: Symphalangus syndactylus (siamang)
Lineage: Eukaryota; Metazoa; Chordata; Mammalia; Primates; Hylobatidae
Source: RefSeq, a predicted model, not a curated record